AGGGAAUCUUCCGCAAUGGGCGAAAGCCUGACGGAGCAACGCCGCGUGAGUGAUGAAGGUCUUCGGAUCGUAAAACUCUGUUAUUAGGGAAGAACAAAUGUGUAAGUAACUAUGCACGUCUUGACGGUACCUAAUCAGAAAGCCACGGCUAACUACGUGCCAGCAGCCGCGGUAAUACGUAGGUGGCAAGCGUUAUCCGGAAUUAUUGGGCGUAAAGCGCGCGUAGGCGGUUUUUUAAGUCUGAUGUGAAAGCCCACGGCUCAACCGUGGAGGGUCAUUGGAAACUGGAAAACUUGAGUGCAGAAGAGGAAAGUGGAAUUCCAUGUGUAGCGGUGAAAUGCGCAGAGAUAUGGAGGAACACCAGUGGCGAAGGCGACUUUCUGGUCUGUAACUGACGCUGAUGUGCGAAAGCGUGGGGAUCAAACAGGAUUAGAUACCCUGGUAGUCCACGCCGUAAACGAUGAGUGCUAAGUGUUAAGGGGUUUCCGCCCCUUAGUGCUGCAGCUAACGCAUUAAGCACUCCGCCUGGGGAGUACGACCGCAAGGUUG
This 549-nucleotide ribosomal RNA is filed under the name uncultured bacterium. Its description in RNAcentral is "bacterial SSU rRNA". It matches the Rfam family "Bacterial small subunit ribosomal RNA", at positions 356 to 896 of the family's 1533-position model. The record is from RNAcentral.